Molecule: ribosomal RNA, 250 nt
Filed under: uncultured bacterium
Lineage: Bacteria
Description: partial 16S ribosomal RNA
Rfam family: Bacterial small subunit ribosomal RNA
Source: RNAcentral
UACGGAGGGUGCUAGCGUUGUUCGGAAUUACUGGGCGUAAAGGGCGCGUAGGCGGCCGUUUGCGUCGGAUGUGAAAGCCCGGGGCUCAACCUCGGAACGGCAUUCGAUACGGGACGGCUGGAGACCGGGAGAGGAGAGUGGAAUAGCCAGUGUAGAGGUGAAAUUCGUAGAUAUUGGCUGGAACACCGGUGGCGAAAGCGGCUCUCUGGCCCGGUUCUGACGCUGAGGCGCGAAAGCGUGGGGAGCAAAC